Molecule: ribosomal RNA, 301 nt
Filed under: uncultured bacterium
Lineage: Bacteria
Description: partial 16S ribosomal RNA
Rfam family: Bacterial small subunit ribosomal RNA
Source: RNAcentral
CAGUCGCCGCGGUAAUACAGAGGGUGCAAGCGUUAAUCGGAAUUACUGGGCGUAAAGCGCGCGUAGGUGGUUUGUUAAGUCGAAUGUGAAAUCCCCGGGCUCAACCUGGGAACUGCAUCCGAAACUGGCAAGCUAGAGUAUGGUAGAGGGUAGUGGAAUUUCCUGUGUAGCGGUGAAAUGCGUAGAUAUAGGAAGGAACACCAGUGGCGAAGGCGACUACCUGGACUGAUACUGACACUGAGGUGCGAAAGCGUGGGGAGCAAACAGGAUUAGAUACCCCUGUAGUCCCUGUCUCUUAUAC